Lathyrus oleraceus (garden pea) is the source of this 2258-nucleotide long non-coding RNA. RefSeq lists it as uncharacterized. The record is from RefSeq and is a predicted model, not a curated record. Lineage: Eukaryota; Viridiplantae; Streptophyta; Magnoliopsida; Fabales; Fabaceae. The transcript is spliced from 4 exons.
AAGUCAACAAGAAUUUGAAAUUAGUCACCUGCUCACUAACUAUCUCCCUCACUCACAACCUACUUUGAUGACCGGCCACCGGGAGACACCGUGUCGGCGGCUGCCUCCAGCGACGAUGGUGUACCUGAAUCAAAGUGGAGGUCACCAUCUGGUGUGCAAUACUGCGCUAGUGACGGAUUUGGGAAUGGAUUGGGAAGAUUAUCACUGGAUAAACUGAAUCGAAGGGCUCUAUUUGAAGAACCCUAGGUCAUUUUAAGCAAAUUAAAAGGAGACUAUGAAAAAUUAAUGCCUACAACCUUAGGGCUUGGAUUCCUCUCCCUAGACUCUAUAAUUUGGUAACCAGGAAGCGCGAAAAGGCAAUAGUCAGAGAAUUACUCACCGGAGAAGGAGGCCGAAAAUACGUCAGUAUAUUGUUAUGCUGCCAAAUAUGGAACUAAACUUAGACAGAUGUUGCCAUUCAUGCUGAAAACCAAUUUGCAAGGCAAUGUUUGAGCAUGGCUGCAGCAGGGUGUUCAAUACAUGUUUGUUUCCUUAUAUUGAUGUGGCUCUGGUGCAAGCAGCAAUCACAUGAUUCUGCAGUAGACUUGAUGGCAAGGUUGGAUGAUUUGUGGUAGGGUUCUGUAGAAGUGUGGCUUAUAUUACAGGUUUGUUAUUGUUGGAAGCAUGGUAAGCCAUUAUGAUUUAGGUGUUUCACUGUAGGAUCACUUGGCUUGAUUGGGAUGCUUUUGUGAGCUAAAUUACCUGCUGCCAGUUGUUGUAUCACUACAGGUCUGCUUUGAUGCUUUUGUCAUGGUGUUGCAAUUUGGAUGUCAUACUGCAGGUCAGGUCCACUUGUGUAAGGUUGGUUACAUUGGUUUUUGGAGGAUUUACAUGAUAGUUCAUACUACAAGUUUGAAAAAGGCUUUUGUGGUUUGAUACAUGACUUGGCCUAGAUGCCUUACCAAUUACCUAAUAUAAACUGAUACAUUGUAGGAUUACUUGGCUUCCUUAGAUGUAUGUCUGUUUGGAUUAUGAUUGAUACAUCAGGUUAGUUUGAGGAUUGAGUAUGCUUUCCAUGAACUAUGUUGAAACCUCCUCCCAGGCUAGAGUUGGAUGGUAACUGACAUGAGCUUGUGGUUGGAGGUUCAUGAUGGUUCUGCUGCAGGCUAUAGCAUUGGCAUGCCCUGUGAUUGAUGCCCUGCUCAACUAUUUUAGGUUGUGUGCUUUAACUGAUCCAAGAAAAACAAAACACUUUGGCACUCAUGCUGCAGAAUAAUUGCUAAGUUUUGACUUGGAUUCCCUGGUGUGAUAUGGAUUUGAAUGUCAUUCUGUCAUGGAUUCUUGCCAAUUGGUGUGGCGCUACUUUGUCUUUUGGUUGUAUAUGAUGGUUGAUUGGUCUUCUUGCAGGUAACUUGUUGGCUGUUGAUCCACACAAUGGUCUUGGUUCGCAUCAUGUUGCAGGACUGCUUUGUUUGGCUCGAAUUUGAAACAGGUUUGUGGUAUGGUGCAAUCCAAUUGUGGAUUUAGCAUUUCAGGAUGUUCAUGGAGCAAUGGUGUUGGACCAAACUGCAAGGUAAGGUUGCCAUAUCAUGGUAUUGAGGUAACUACUAGUUUCAAGGUGCAUUACUUGGUAGAUUGAUGUGUGUUACACUUAAUCUUCUCCUGUCUAAGUUGAUGCAGGUGCGGGCAUGUUAUGCUAUCAGUCCCAAUGGUUUGGACAUGGUUCUGCAACAUGUUCCAAUCGGUAUGAACCUGGCAAUUAAAGCAAUGCUGUCAAUUUAUCUGUGUGUAGUUACUUGAUGUCAGAUCUGCCUUGAACUUGGACAGUGGUUAAGUGAGGGUUCUUGGACUUGUAAUGGUCAUGUCAUGAAGCCAUGUUUGGAUGAGUGAGAUCUAUGGCUUACUUCUGUUUUAGAAUCAAAAGCAAUAUGCUAAUUUGUUUUUGUUUGAAGUUCAUGACAACAUGUUAGUUUGUAUGUUAAUGAUAUUGAUCGGCUUUGUAGGCAUGGCAUGGACAUGAACAUGGUUGGUCAAAGAUAAACUAGCAAAUGAAGAAAUCAUGAUGGAAUCAAGCAAGCAUGAACAAUGGAAUGAUGGAUUAGAGUUUAAGAUGGGAAUUUAGGUUUUUGGGGACUUUGGUUGACUUUGGUCAAAGUUGACCAAAAAGUCAACUGUUGACCAAAGUCAAUAUUUGGUCAACCCUCUUAAUUUUGUAAUUUUUUCGUAUUUUGGAUAUUUUAUGACCAUGUAAUGAAUGAGCUUGGUAUGUUUUGAAUGAA